This 253-nucleotide ribosomal RNA is filed under the name uncultured bacterium. RNAcentral describes it as "partial 16S ribosomal RNA". It matches the Rfam family "Bacterial small subunit ribosomal RNA", at positions 524 to 776 of the family's 1533-position model. The record is from RNAcentral.
UACGGAGGGUGCAAGCGUUAAUCGGAAUUACUGGGCGUAAGGCGUGCGCAGGCGGUUUGUUAAGUCCGUUGUGAAAGCCCCGAGCUCAACUUGGGAAUUGCAGUGGAUACUGGCAGGCUGGAGUACGGUAGAGGAAGGUGGAAUUCCCGGCGUAGCAGUGAAAUGCGUAGAUAUCGGGAGGAACACCAGUGGCGAAAGCGAGGUCCUGGACGCCUACUGACGCUGAGACGCGAAAGCCAGGGGAGCGAACGGG